Molecule: non-coding RNA, 148 nt
Filed under: Gorilla gorilla gorilla (western lowland gorilla)
Lineage: Eukaryota; Metazoa; Chordata; Mammalia; Primates; Hominidae
Source: Rfam by way of RNAcentral
GCUGGGUGUGGUGGCGCACGCCUGUAGUCCCAGCUACUCGGGAGGCUGAGGUGGGAGGAUCACUUGAGCCUAGGAGGCUGAGGCUGUAGUGAGCCAUGAUUGUGUCACUGCACUUCAGCCUGGGCAACAGAGCAAGACACCAUCUUAA